This 1456-nucleotide long non-coding RNA is filed under the name Callithrix jacchus (white-tufted-ear marmoset). RNAcentral's name for it is "lncRNA (ENSCJAG00000072045.1)". The record is from RNAcentral. Lineage: Eukaryota; Metazoa; Chordata; Mammalia; Primates; Cebidae.
UGCAGGACUCAUGCUUUCUGAGGCUUCCUCUCUCCAUCUGUGAUUCUCUACCUGAAAGGCUUCUACUACCUACUUUCUUAUCUCUUCCCUACUGUGCCAUUUGGUUAAUUCUGCAUCCUUUAGGUCUUACUUGGAACAUUACUUCCUCAGCCGAGUCUUCUCUGACAAUAAUAGAAAACCUAGACUAAAUUAAUUACAGCUGACAACUGCUGAGUGGAUGCACCAAUUUUACCCUGUUGGGUUUGUUUUUGUUUUUUGAACUUUUUAAACUGUGCAGCUUUCCUAUUGGACUGUAAGCUUCAGGUCAAGGCCUGAGUCUAUCUCCACCAUGAUUUUAUCAGCACCUCUUACAGUAUCUGGAGUUGUGUUUAAGAAGUGAUUGUAAAGGAAGGAGGGAAGGAACCAAGAGAAAAGAAAGUGUAUGGCAGAUUUACUUGAUAGUGAUAAAUUAAGUUUACCUGGAGAAGGACCCUGCAUGAUGGACACACCUGACAGCAGUAACUUAAGCAUGGCCUAAUGGCAGACACACCUGACUUCACUUACGAAAUGAGGGUUGCAAUGUGGAUCUCGCUGCGGGGAAGGCUGCUAAAUGAUACUGCUAUAUAAACUGCAUGCUCUUCAUAAGCAGUUGCUGUUCUGCUGUUCUCCUGCCUGCACGGCCUGCUUCCCCUGCACCUCCCUGAAGCUACUGGAGAGUGUGCUUUACUAAACAAGGGAAUUACGUAAAGGAACGAUGUGAAACUAGGAAACAGGAAAUCCAUCACAGGAGAGGAUGAAGAAACCAAGUUGAUGACAGAGGGUAACAGCUGUGAAAGCGGUUGAAAGAGCAACCAGUUCCGGUUGGAGCAAGAAAACUGAGAACUCUGGGAGAGACGCCUCAAAGAUGAACACAAGGAAAUGAAUACAUCAUUAGUAAGACUUGACAAUGCAAAGGCUUAUCUUGAGUCAUUUGUCAAAGCCAUCAAUGGGAGUGAGAAGAUGUAGCCAAAUGAAUCCAAGUAGGUGAGGGGGGAAAUUUAAAAAAGGUGAUUGUAAAAUGCUCACCUUUUUCUGGGAUUGACAAAAAUUCAGGUAGAAAAGCAAAAGGAAUUCUAACAAUACAAUAUUUAUAUAGUCAUAAUCCUAAAAACACCUGAUAGUAUUUAAUUAAAAUGUGUAAUAUAACUACACUGGAAGAAUGAGGGAGAGAAAGGGAUGCGUCAAACAAAAUCUUAAUAGAAAGUCAGUAAAUAACAUCUGAAAUCAGUGAGUUAAAACAUAGGUCCGUAUUUUAUUUGGAGAAAUGUGGAGGUAAUUACCAGAGAAUAUAACUAAGGGUAGAAUGUGGUUGCCUCUGGCAAACAGGUCAAGGUGGGAGUAAAGGAAAACUGGAGCAGGGGCUGCUGUUAUUAUCAAGUUUUUAUUUGUUCUAUUAAACUAUGUUUUUAUAUUGCUUUGAUAAAUUAAUGUAUUAUUG